RNAcentral lists this long non-coding RNA (579 nucleotides) under Neogobius melanostomus (round goby). RNAcentral describes it as "lncRNA (ENSNMLG00000024511.1)". Lineage: Eukaryota; Metazoa; Chordata; Actinopteri; Gobiiformes; Gobiidae. The record is from RNAcentral.
AAAGGCCACUCACAACAUGGAUUGCGUAAGCGCUGCAGGCUGCCACAGAUUGGGCACGCAUUAAACCCUGCGCUCUGUCUGGCAGGUCUUUACUCCAAUGGAAUCAGAGUGCAUGCGUUUUAAUAGGGCUGUUGUGCACCACCCAGCUCAACAACGCUUUGCCUGACGCGUACGUGCGUGCUGCUGGCUGCGCUACGUUGAAACAGGGGGCGUACUAGGCUCUGCGAUGGAGGACUGCAUAGAGGUGAUUUUGCAGGACCAGGGUGCUCUCUUACGCCCGAGUAGGGACCACCCGUGGGUGACAGCCUGCGCCGGGGCCAUGCUGACCGGCAUGUAUGGACUCUGGAGCCUGUUCACUCUGCCCGGCCUGCGCAGAGUGCCGUGGAAACUCAAGGUGCCAUAUUUACCCUCCAGCCAGCAGCAGACGGGGAACGUUCUGAAGCACCUCCAUGGACGCUCGGGCCGUCUGGCAGAUCUUGGGUCAGGGACGGCCGGCUGGUGAGUGGGCAGCACAUGUUUCACUGUAUAUCUCUGACGUGGUGCCAACACGGGACUUACUGAAUGUUCCAAGUGAACAAG